UGGCGGCGUGCUUAACACAUGCAAGUCGAACGGAAAGGCCCUGCUUUUGUGGGGUGCUCGAGUGGCGAACGGGUGAGUAACACGUGAGUAACCUGCCCUUGACUUUGGGAUAACUUCAGGAAACUGGGGCUAAUACCGGAUAGGAGCUCCUGCUGCAUGGUGGGGGUUGGAAAGUUUCGGCGGUUGGGGAUGGACUCGCGGCUUAUCAGCUUGUUGGUGGGGUAGUGGCUUACCAAGGCUUUGACGGGUAGCCGGCCUGAGAGGGUGACCGGCCACAUUGGGACUGAGAUACGGCCCAGACUCCUACGGGAGGCAGCAGUGGGGAAUAUUGCACAAUGGGCGGAAGCCUGAUGCAGCAACGCCGCGUGCGGGAUGACGGCCUUCGGGUUGUAAACCGCUUUCGCCUGUGACGAAGCGUGAGUGACGGUAAUGGGUAAAGAAGCACCGGCUAACUACGUGCCAGCAGCCGCGGUGAUACGUAGGGUGCGAGCGUUGUCCGGAUUUAUUGGGCGUAAAGGGCUCGUAGGUGGUUGAUCGCGUCGGAAGUGUAAUCUUGGGGCUUAACCCUGAGCGUGCUUUCGAUACGGGUUGACUUGAGGAAGGUAGGGGAGAAUGGAAUUCCUGGUGGAGCGGUGGAAUGCGCAGAUAUCAGGAGGAACACCAGUGGCGAAGGCGGUUCUCUGGGCCUUUCCUGACGCUGAGGAGCGAAAGCGUGGGGAGCGAACAGGCUUAGAUACCCUGGUAGUCCACGCUGUAAACGGUGGGUACUAGGUGUGGGGUCCAUUCCACGGGUUCCGUGCCGUAGCUAACGCUUUAAGUACCCCGCCUGGGGAGUACGGCCGCAAGGCUAAAACUCAAAGGAAUUGACGGGGCCCCGCACAAGCGGCGGAGCAUGCGGAUUAAUUCGAUGCAACGCGUAGAACCUUACCUGGGUUUGACAUGGAUCGGGAGUGCUCAGAGAUGGGUGUGCCUCUUUUGGGGUCGGUUCACAGGUGGUGCAUGGCUGUCGUCAGCUCGUGUCGUGAGAUGUUGGGUUAAGUCCCGCAACGAGCGCAACCCUUGUUCACUGUUGCCAGCACGUUAUGGUGGGGACUCAGUGGAGACCGCCGGGGUCAACUCGGAGGAAGGUGGGGAUGACGUCAAGUCAUCAUGCCCCUUAUGUCCAGGGCUUCACGCAUGCUACAAUGGCUGGUACAGAGAGUGGCGAGCCUGUGAGGGUGAGCGAAUCUCGGAAAGCCGGUCUCAGUUCGGAUUGGGGUCUGCAACUCGACCUCAUGAAGUCGGAGUCGCUAGUAAUCGCAGAUCAGCAACGCUGCGGUGAAUACGUUCCCGGGGCUUGUACACACCGCCCGUCAAGUCAUGAAAGUUGGUAACACCCGAAGCCGGUGGCCUAACCGUUGUGGGGGAGCCGUCGAAGGUGGGACUGGUGAUA
RNAcentral lists this ribosomal RNA (1432 nucleotides) under uncultured organism. Its description in RNAcentral is "partial small subunit ribosomal RNA". It matches the Rfam family "Bacterial small subunit ribosomal RNA". The record is from RNAcentral.